This 73-nucleotide transfer RNA is filed under the name Dreissena polymorpha. It matches the Rfam family "tRNA". From Rfam's summary of the family: Transfer RNA (tRNA) molecules are approximately 80 nucleotides in length. The record is from Rfam by way of RNAcentral. Lineage: Eukaryota; Metazoa; Mollusca; Bivalvia; Myida; Dreissenidae.
GCCCGGCUAGCUCAGUCGGUAGAGCACGAGACUGAAAAACUCGAGGUCGUGGGUUUGAGUACCGCGUCGGAUG